CCUACGGGGGGCAGCAGUGGGGAAUCUUGCGCAAUGGGCGAAAGCCUGACGCAGCCAUGCCGCGUGAAUGAUGAAGGUCUUAGGAUUGUAAAAUUCUUUCACCGGGGACGAUAAUGACGGUACCCGGAGAAGAAGCCCCGGCUAACUUCGUGCCAGCAGCCGCGGUAAUACGAAGGGGGCUAGCGUUGCUCGGAAUUACUGGGCGUAAAGGGAGCGUAGGCGGACAUUUAAGUCAGGGGUGAAAUCCCAGAGCUCAACUCUGGAACUGCCUUUGAUACUGGGUGUCUUGAGUGUGAUAGAGGUAAGUGGAACUCCGAGUGUAGAGGUGAAAUUCGUAGAUAUUCGGAAGAACACCAGUGGCGAAGGCGACUUACUGGAUCAUUACUGACGCUGAGGCUCGAAAGCGUGGGGAGCAAACAGGAUUAGAUACC
This 431-nucleotide ribosomal RNA is filed under the name uncultured bacterium. RNAcentral describes it as "bacterial SSU rRNA". It matches the Rfam family "Bacterial small subunit ribosomal RNA", at positions 338 to 786 of the family's 1533-position model. The record is from RNAcentral.